GCGAAAAUAGCUCAAUAGGUAGAGUGUAAUCUUGCCAAGAUUAUGGUUGAGGGUUCGAAUCCCUUUUUUCGCU
RNAcentral lists this transfer RNA (73 nucleotides) under Gracilaria caudata. Its description in RNAcentral is "Crassa caudata tRNA-Gly". It matches the Rfam family "tRNA". Rfam says of the family: Transfer RNA (tRNA) molecules are approximately 80 nucleotides in length. Their secondary structure includes four short double-helical elements and three loops (D, anti-codon, and T loops). The record is from RNAcentral. Lineage: Eukaryota; Rhodophyta; Florideophyceae; Gracilariales; Gracilariaceae.